GCCAGGCGUGGUGGCGCACGGCUGUAGUCCCAGCUACUUAGGAGGCUGAGGUGGGAGGAUCUCUUGAGCCCAGGAGGUCUAGGCUGUAGUAAUGCCAUGAUCACACCACUGCACUGCAGCCUGGGCUACACAGUGAGACCCUGUCUCAA
This 149-nucleotide signal recognition particle RNA is filed under the name Nomascus leucogenys (northern white-cheeked gibbon). RNAcentral's name for it is "Metazoan signal recognition particle RNA". It matches the Rfam family "Metazoan signal recognition particle RNA". From Rfam's summary of the family: The signal recognition particle (SRP) is a universally conserved ribonucleoprotein. The record is from Rfam by way of RNAcentral. Lineage: Eukaryota; Metazoa; Chordata; Mammalia; Primates; Hylobatidae.